Molecule: ribosomal RNA, 298 nt
Filed under: Symbiodinium sp. Mp
Lineage: Eukaryota; Dinophyceae; Suessiales; Symbiodiniaceae
Description: partial Bacterial large subunit ribosomal RNA
Rfam family: Bacterial large subunit ribosomal RNA
Source: RNAcentral
UAAGUUCCGACCUGCACGAAUGGUGUAACGAUCUGGGCACUGUCUCGGCCAUGAGCUCGGUGAAAUUGAAGUAUCGGUGAAGAUGCCGAUUACCCGCAACGGGACGAAAAGACCCCGUGAACCUUUACUACAGCUUCACAUUGUGUUAGGGUAUAAGAUGUGUAGGAUAGGUGGGAGGCUACGAAGCUGCCGCGCCAGUGGUGGUGGAGCCGACCUUGAAAUACCACCCUUCUUAUACUUUGAUACUAACUUCAGCAACAACUGGAGGACAUUGUGUGGUGGGUAGUUUGACUGGGGU